This is a long non-coding RNA of Solanum tuberosum (potato), 507 nucleotides long. RefSeq lists it as uncharacterized. Lineage: Eukaryota; Viridiplantae; Streptophyta; Magnoliopsida; Solanales; Solanaceae. The record is from RefSeq and is a predicted model, not a curated record. The transcript is spliced from 2 exons.
AAACCUUUUUCAUCUAUCAAAUCUGACAAAGGGACUCAUUUUUCUUCACUUUUCUCAAUCGUGUUGCUAAAUUUGUCGUGGUAACAUGGAUGUGUGAUAGUUCUUGGUAGCGUGGAUGAAAUCGUGGAGGUGUGAUUGUUCUGGUGUUCCUUAACCUGCAUUUCUGAAUCAGUAACCUGCAUAACUUGAAGGGGCAUAGAGCAACAAUCAUGGAUCUUUUAUCACAAGUGAAGUAUAGAAUGUGUGCAAUAUACAUCCUUGCUAAUUGGGCAAACCAUUGGAGAUGUUUGGAAAGAAGGAAUCAAUUCUGGAAAUGUUCAAGAAGCACCUUUGAGGGAUAAUUGAAGGCAUAUCUAGCCCAAAUGACAUUUCUACGUAACAAAAAUAUUGUUCAAGAUUUACUUUACUUCAAUGUACAAUCUUGGUGUAAAAUGUACUUUAGGACUGAUGUUAAGUGUGAUAUUAUAGAUAACAAUAUGGAUGAAAACUUUAAUUCUUGGAUCUUAA